RNAcentral lists this ribosomal RNA (1079 nucleotides) under Alkalihalobacillus sp. Its description in RNAcentral is "bacterial SSU rRNA". It matches the Rfam family "Bacterial small subunit ribosomal RNA", at positions 57 to 1118 of the family's 1533-position model. Lineage: Bacteria; Bacillati; Bacillota; Bacilli; Caryophanales; Bacillaceae. The record is from RNAcentral.
GCAGUCGAGCGGACGUUUUUGAAGCUUGCUUCAAAACGUUAGCGGCGGACGGGUGAGUAACACGUGGGCAACCUGCCUUAUCGACUGGGAUAACUCCGGGAAACCGGGGCUAAUACCGGAUAACAUCUAGCACUUCCUGGUGCAAGAUUAAAAGAGGGCCUUCGGGCUCUCACGAUGAGAUGGGCCCGCGGCGCAUUAGCUAGUUGGAGAGGUAAUGGCUCCCCAAGGCGACGAUGCGUAGCCGACCUGAGAGGGUGAUCGGCCACACUGGGACUGAGACACGGCCCAGACUCCUACGGGAGGCAGCAGUAGGGAAUCUUCCGCAAUGGACGAAAGUCUGACGGAGCAACGCCGCGUGAGUGAUGAAGGGUUUCGGCUCGUAAAGCUCUGUUAUGAGGGAAGAACACGUACCGUUCGAAUAGGGCGGUACCUUGACGGUACCUCAUCAGAAAGCCACGGCUAACUACGUGCCAGCAGCCGCGGUAAUACGUAGGUGGCAAGCGUUGUCCGGAAUUAUUGGGCGUAAAGCGCGCGCAGGCGGCCUUUUAAGUCUGAUGUGAAAUCUUGCGGCUCAACCGCAAGCGGUCAUUGGAAACUGGAGGGCUUGAGUACAGAAGAGGAGAGUGGAAUUCCACGUGUAGCGGUGAAAUGCGUAGAUAUGUGGAGGAACACCAGUGGCGAAGGCGACUCUCUGGUCUGUAACUGACGCUGAGGCGCGAAAGCGUGGGGAGCAAACAGGAUUAGAUACCCUGGUAGUCCACGCCGUAAACGAUGAGUGCUAGGUGUUAGGGGUUUCGAUGCCCGUAGUGCCAAAGUUAACACAUUAAGCACUCCGCCUGGGGAGUACGGCCGCAAGGCUGAAACUCAAAGGAAUUGACGGGGGCCCGCACAAGCAGUGGAGCAUGUGGUUUAAUUCGAAGCAACGCGAAGAACCUUACCAGGUCUUGACAUCCUUUGACCACUCUGGAGACAGAGCUUCCCCUUCGGGGCAAGUGACAGGUGGUGCAUGGUUGUCGUCAGCUCGUGUCGUGAGAUGUUGGGUUAAUUCCCGCAACGAGCGCACCCUUGACCUUAUUUGC